AAGUCGUAACAAGGUUUCCGUAGGUGAACCUGCGGAAGGAUCAUUAACACGUAUCCAAACGUUAAACCCCCCUGUGAACCUUCACCUGUACUCGUACGUCCGUUAGAAAAAGCAGCAAUCCCUGGUAAAUCAUCGCCGAACAGUUUUCGAUUCAGGGACGUCUGCAAGGAGCGUGCAUGUUGUGCGAAGCAAGUGGCCUGGCAUCCCCAAGCAGUUAGUGUCUGAAAGUGUCAUUACCUGUCCGGGUCGCUGGGCGCAAGCCCCCCUAUAACAAACCCCCUGCCAAUCGCGGCCGCGAUAAUACGCAGUCGACCAAAAACCGAACAACUGUUAACAAUGGAUAUCUUGGUUCUC
Molecule: unclassified non-coding RNA, 354 nt
Filed under: fungal sp.
Lineage: Eukaryota; Fungi
Description: partial internal transcribed spacer region
Rfam family: Eukaryotic small subunit ribosomal RNA (bases 1-46)
Source: RNAcentral